This 460-nucleotide ribosomal RNA is filed under the name uncultured bacterium. RNAcentral describes it as "partial 16S ribosomal RNA". It matches the Rfam family "Bacterial small subunit ribosomal RNA", at positions 338 to 795 of the family's 1533-position model. The record is from RNAcentral.
CCUACGGGAGGCAGCAGUGAGGAAUAUUGGUCAAUGGGCGUAAGCCUGAACCAGCCAAGUCGCGUGAGGGAUGAAGGUUCUAUGGAUCGUAAACCUCUUUUAUAAGGGAAUAAAGUGCGGGACGUGUCCCGUUUUGUAUGUACCUUAUGAAUAAGGAUCGGCUAACUCCGUGCCAGCAGCCGCGGUAAUACGGAGGUUCCGAGCGUUAUCCGGAUUUAUUGGGUUUAAAGGGUGCGUAGGCGGCCUUUUAAGUCAGCGGGGAAAGUCUGUGGCGCAACCAUAGAAUUGCCGUUGAAACUGGGAGGCUUGAGUAUGUUUGAGGCAGGCGGAAUGCGUGGUGUAGCGGUGAAAUGCUUAGAUAUCACGCAGAACCCCGAUUGCGAAGGCAGCCUGCCAAGCCAUGACUGACGCUGAUGCACGAAAGCGUGGGGAUCAAACAGGAUUAGAUACCCUAGUAGUC